RNAcentral lists this ribosomal RNA (477 nucleotides) under Hoplisoma nattereri (blue corydoras). RNAcentral's name for it is "Corydoras nattereri partial 16S ribosomal RNA". It matches the Rfam family "Bacterial large subunit ribosomal RNA", at positions 1922 to 2559 of the family's 2925-position model. Lineage: Eukaryota; Metazoa; Chordata; Actinopteri; Siluriformes; Callichthyidae. The record is from RNAcentral.
GUUAAACGGCCGCGGUAUUUUGACCGUGCAAAGGUAGCGCAAUCACUUGUCUUUUAAAUGAAGACCUGUAUGAAUGGUGGAACGAGGGCCUAACUGUCUCCCUUUUCAAGUCAAUGAAAUUGAUCUAUCCGUGCAGAAGCGGGUAUGCGAAUACAAGACGAGAAGACCCUUUGGAGCUUAAGAUUAAAAAUCAACUAUGUUAAAUAUCCGCCGGAUAAAACUAAAUAGCAGCUGAUCAUAAUCUUCGGUUGGGGCGACCACGGAAUAAAGACAAACUUCCACAUGGACUGAGGACUAACCUUAAACCCAAGAAAGACAUUUCUAAGUCACAGAAUUUCUGACCACACAGAUCCGGCAAACCGCCGAUCAAUGGACCAAGUUACCCUAGGGAUAACAGCGCAAUCCCCUUUUAGAGUUCCUAUCGACAAGGGGGUUUACGACCUCGAUGUUGGAUCCAGGACAUCCUAAUGGUGCAGC